AAACUAACAAGGAUUCCCCUAGUAACGGCGAGUGAAGCGGGAAGAGCUCAAAUUUGAAAUCUGGUGGCCUCAGGUCAUCCGAGUUGUAAUCUAUAGAAGUGUUUUCCGUGCUGGCUCAUGUACAAGUCCCUUGGAACAGGGCGUCAUAGAGGGUGAGAAUCCCGUCCUUGACAUGAACUACCAGUGCUCUGUGAUACAUUUUCAACGAGUCGAGUUGUUUGGGAAUGCAGCUCAAAAUGGGUGGUAAAUUCCAUCUAAAGCUAAAUAUUGGCGAGAGACCGAUAGCGAACAAGUACCGUGAGGGAAAGAUGAAAAGCACUUUGGAAAGAGAGUUAAACAGUAUGUGAAAUUGUUGAAAGGGAAACGAUUGAAGUCAGUCGUGCUCUUUGGAUUCAGCCGGUUCUGCCGGUGUACUUCCUUUGAGUGGGGUCAACAUCAGUUUUGAUCGCUGGAUAAAGGCGGGAGGAAUGUAGUACCCUCGGGUAAACUUAUAGCCUCUUGUCACAUACAGUGGUUGGGACUGAGGAACGCAGCAUGCCUUUAAGGCCGGGAUUCGUCCACGUACAUGCUUAGGAUGUUGACAUAAUGGCUUUAAACGACCCGUCUUGAAAC
Molecule: ribosomal RNA, 612 nt
Filed under: Filobasidium oeirense
Lineage: Eukaryota; Fungi; Basidiomycota; Tremellomycetes; Filobasidiales; Filobasidiaceae
Description: eukaryotic LSU rRNA
Rfam family: Eukaryotic large subunit ribosomal RNA
Source: RNAcentral